This 241-nucleotide ribosomal RNA is filed under the name uncultured bacterium. RNAcentral's name for it is "partial 16S ribosomal RNA". It matches the Rfam family "Bacterial small subunit ribosomal RNA", at positions 15 to 254 of the family's 1533-position model. The record is from RNAcentral.
GAUCCUGGCUCAGAUUGAACGCUGGCGGCAUGCCUUACACAUGCAAGUCGAACGGCAGCAUGGAGAGCUUGCUCUCUGAUGGCGAGUGGCGAACGGGUGAGUAAUACAUCGGAACGUGUCCGUUUGUGGGGGACAACCGUCCGAAAGGAUGGCUAAUACCGCAUAAGACCUGAGGGUGAAAGCCGGGGACCGCAAGGCCCGGCGCAGACGGAGCGGCCGAUGAUUGAUUAGUUAGUUGGGG